Erinaceus europaeus (western European hedgehog) is the source of this 89-nucleotide small nucleolar RNA. Its record names the gene U3. It matches the Rfam family "Small nucleolar RNA U3". Rfam says of the family: Small nucleolar RNAs (snoRNAs) are involved in the processing and modification of rRNA in the nucleolus. There are two main classes of snoRNAs: the box C/D class, and the box H/ACA class. U3 snoRNA is a member of the box C/D class. Lineage: Eukaryota; Metazoa; Chordata; Mammalia; Eulipotyphla; Erinaceidae. The record is from Ensembl.
AAGACUAUACUUUCAGGGAUCAUUUCUAUAGUAUGUUACUAGAACUCACCUAGCUGAACAAGCUAAAACAGUAUCAGAACAGGGUAACA